CCUACGGGUGGCUGCAGUGAGGAAUAUUGGUCAAUGGGCUUACGCCUGAACCAGCCAAGUCGCGUGAGGGAAGACUGCCCUAUGGGUUGUAAACCUCUUUUGUCAGGGAGCAAUUGGCGCUACGUGUAGCGUUAUCGAGAUUCCCUGAAGAAAAGGCAUCGGCUAACUCCUUGCCAGCAGCCGCGUUAAUACGGAGGAUGCGAGCGUUAUCCGGUUUUAUUGGUUUAAAGGGGUGCGUAGGCGGAAUGCCAAGUCGUCGGUAAAAUCGCGGGGCUCAACCUCGCUCCGCAGUUGAAACUGGCGUUCUUGAGUGGGCGAGAAGUAUGCGGAAUGCGUGGUGUAGCGGUGAAAUGCAUAGAUAUCACGAAGAACUCCGAUUGCGAAGGCAGCAUAC
This 394-nucleotide ribosomal RNA is filed under the name uncultured bacterium. Its description in RNAcentral is "partial 16S ribosomal RNA". It matches the Rfam family "Bacterial small subunit ribosomal RNA", at positions 338 to 729 of the family's 1533-position model. The record is from RNAcentral.